GACGAACGCUGGCGGCGUGCUUAACACAUGCAAGUCGAACGAAGAGCGAUGGAAGCUUGCUUCUAUCAAUCUUAGUGGCGAACGGGUGAGUAACGCGUAAUCAACCUGCCCUUCAGAGGGGGACAACAGUUGGAAACGACUGCUAAUACCGCAUACGAUCUAAUCUCGGCAUCGAGGAUAGAUGAAAGGUGGCCUCUACAUGUAAGCUAUCACUGAAGGAGGGGAUUGCGUCUGAUUAGCUAGUUGGAGGGGUAACGGCCCACCAAGGCGAUGAUCAGUAGCCGGUCUGAGAGGAUGAAAGGCCACAUUGGGACUGAGACACGGCCCAGACUCCUACGGGAGGCAGCAGUGGGGAAUCUUCCGCAAUGGACGAAAGUCUGACGGAGCAACGCCGCGUGAGUGAUGACGGCCUUCGGGUUGUAAAGCUCUGUUAAUCGGGACGAAAGGCCUUCUUGCGAAUAGUGAGAAGGAUUGACGGUACCGGAAUAGAAAGCCACGGCUAACUACGUG
This 510-nucleotide ribosomal RNA is filed under the name uncultured bacterium. RNAcentral describes it as "partial 16S ribosomal RNA". It matches the Rfam family "Bacterial small subunit ribosomal RNA", at positions 28 to 507 of the family's 1533-position model. The record is from RNAcentral.